AAUUCCAAUUUACAAGUUCAGAUUUUUUUUUGUGUGUGGGGAAGUGACAAGCUGGGCUUCCCUGGAAUCUUCUCUCUCUACUCUCUUUUCCUCUCCCUCUCCUCUGCUCGAUCUGUUUCUCCUCUCUCGCAGUGCAGAGGGUGUGACUGGCCGCCCCCGGGAUUACUCGCAGCUGCAGGCCCUCUCUAAUCAGCCGCCUGUUCUCCGCGGAUCAUCAGCGCAGCUUCUGAAGCGGUGGCUGCUCUCUGUUCGGCGCCUGGCUAUAGUCACGAGAGCCACCCUGCUCUAGGGUCUCUCAGCCUGCCCGCUGACGCCACUCUCCACCUGCCGUCACCAGUCCUGCGUGCCUCGUCUCCCUGCCUGUGUGUGUGUGUCCACAACCUGCUCUUUCGCCUGAGAGGUGUUCCCCACCAGUCCGUUCUGCUACCUUGUCUGAUUCAUUAAUAAAGUGUGUAAAACUUCGA
Long non-coding RNA from Perca fluviatilis (European perch), 464 nucleotides. RefSeq lists it as uncharacterized. The record is from RefSeq and is a predicted model, not a curated record. The transcript has 2 exons. NCBI's taxonomy places the organism in Eukaryota, Metazoa, Chordata, Actinopteri, Perciformes, Percidae.